GAUGCAGCGUGAUGACAAACCAGACAAUAAUUUCGUUAUGGCGGUCGAAUAUAUGCGAGUAUCCUUCUUUUUGGGUUAUCUCACCAGGCGCGGAAGGUUGUGCUGAAUUUUUUAUGGACUCCAUAAAAAAAAAAAACAUACAGAGUGGCUCUAAUCGACGUCGUGCGUUAGAGCCGCGCGAGGAUAGCGUGUGAACCGUUUCAUGUGAAACCGUAAAGGUCAGAGACUCGAGGCUCUAACUAGAUGCUCCAAAUAGGUGUUAAGUUCUCGAGGGAGAUUAAUGCAUGCAAGCAGCUCAAAAAAUGGGGUGGCCUUAUUCAACUGCAACGACAGUAUAGAGAGCGUGCGCUAAAUUAUUACUUUCCAAGGUGCAACGUAUACGACAACCAGUACCCAAUGAAACUGCAUAUUUUUCAACGGUAUCAUUCGUCAGGGCAAUAUUAAUUUUGUUCGAUCGGCUAUACAAGCACCUUCGACGUAUACGGUAUGUUUAUUAGAUCGAUGGAUGUCAUUGACACUUAAAAAAAGAAAUAGAUA
This is a long non-coding RNA of Cephus cinctus (wheat stem sawfly), 537 nucleotides long. RefSeq lists it as uncharacterized. Lineage: Eukaryota; Metazoa; Arthropoda; Insecta; Hymenoptera; Cephidae. The record is from RefSeq and is a predicted model, not a curated record. The transcript is spliced from 3 exons.